GGCUUACACAAAUGAUGAUAUUAGCACAUUAUAAAUUAAAUGAAUCCAGUAAUAUGUACUUCAUAGGUUAUCUCCAGCAUUGUAAGCAACAAUGUGAAAGUAUUUCGCAAGAUUAUAAAGAGGAAAAAUUAGAUCGUUAGGCAGAAAUCCCAGAUCAGCACCAUAGACAGCUCCCAGACUACCUCAAAGCUGCAUUAACUACAUAACAUGAAUAUGAAUCCAUGCUCCCUUAACACGGAGGCACCUGUGCCCU
Molecule: long non-coding RNA, 253 nt
Filed under: Bos taurus (domestic cattle)
Lineage: Eukaryota; Metazoa; Chordata; Mammalia; Artiodactyla; Bovidae
Description: long non-coding RNA NONBTAT022743
Source: RNAcentral